UGCUAUCGGAGUUCGAUUAAGCCAUGCGAGUCUAGAGGUUUCUUCGGAAACCUUGGCGGACUGCUCAGUAACACGUGGAUAACCUACCCUUGGGACUGGAACAACCCCGGGAAACUGGGGAUAAUACCGGAUAGAUCAGGGAUGCUGGAAUGCACCUUGAUCCAAAGCUCCGGCGCCCAAGGAUGGGUCUGCGGCCUAUCAGGUAGUAGUGGGUGUAAUGUACCUACUAGCCAACGACGGGUACGGGUUGUGAGAGCAAGAGCCCGGAGAUGGAUUCUGAGACACGAAUCCAGGCCCUACGGGGUGCAGCAGGCGCGAAAACUUUACAAUGUGCGAAAGCAUGAUAAGGGAACUCCGAGUGCCAGCAUCUAAUGUUGGCUGUCCUUGUGCCUAAAAUGCACAAGAUAGCAAGGGCCGGGUAAGACCGGUGCCAGCCGCCGCGGUAACACCGGCGGCCCGAGUGGUAGCCACUAUUAUUGGGUCUAAAGGGUCCGUAGCCGGUUCGAUAAGUCCUCUGGGAAAUCUGGUUGCUUAACAAUCAGACUGCCAAGGGAUACUGUCGAACUUGAGACCGGGAGAGGUAAGAGGUACUUCAGGGGUAGGAGUGAAAUCUUGUAAUCCCUGGGGGACCAUCUGUGGCGAAGGCGUCUUACCAGAACGGGUCUGACGGUGAGGGACGAAAGCUGGGGGCGCAAACCGGAUUAGAUACCCGGGUAGUCCCAGCCGUAAACGAUGCUCGCUAUGUGUCAGGUACGGUGUGACCGUAUCUGGUGCCGUAGGGAAGCCGUGAAGCGAGCCACCUGGGAAGUACGGCCGCAAGGCUGAAACUUAAAGGAAUUGGCGGGGGAGCACUACAACGGGUGGAGCCUGCGGUUUAAUUGGAUUCAACGCCGGA
This 895-nucleotide ribosomal RNA is filed under the name uncultured archaeon. RNAcentral describes it as "bacterial SSU rRNA". It matches the Rfam family "Archaeal small subunit ribosomal RNA", at positions 28 to 922 of the family's 1478-position model. The record is from RNAcentral.